Molecule: ribosomal RNA, 447 nt
Filed under: uncultured bacterium
Lineage: Bacteria
Description: partial 16S ribosomal RNA
Rfam family: Bacterial small subunit ribosomal RNA
Source: RNAcentral
AGCGAACGCUGGCGGCAGGCCUAACACAUGCAAGUCGAACGGCUCUUCGGAGCAGUGGCGGACGGGUGAGUAACGCGUGGGAACGUGCCCUUUGGUUCGGAACAACACAGGGAAACUUGUGCUAAUACCGGAUGUGCCCUUCGGGGGAAAGAUUUAUCGCCAUUGGAGCGGCCCGCGUUGGAUUAGGUAGUUGGUGGGGUAAAGGCCCACCAAGCCUACGAUCCAUAGCUGGUCUGAGAGGAUGAUCAGCCACACUGGGACUGAGACACGGCCCAGACUCCUACGGGAGGCAGCAGUGGGGAAUCUUGCGCAAUGGGCGAAAGCCUGACGCAGCCAUGCCGCGUGAAUGAUGAAGGUCUUAGGAUUGUAAAAUUCUUUCACCGGGGAAGAUAAUGACGGUACCCGGAGAAGAAGCCCCGGCUAACUUCGUGCCAGCCGCCGCCGUAA